AGAUGUCAGGGCGGUGUGGUUGUGACAUCUGUCAUCCCAACGAUCACAAGGGUUGAUUCAGCUGAUCUAACUGCCUAAGCAAGUGGCUCCUUCCUCCCUCACUUUCCAUAUGCAUCCCUCCUGAAGCUGUGUGCUAAAAGAGGACAACCCUAUCAACAGAGGAGACUAUUCUUCAGUCAAGGCUAUAUGAGUUGCUGUAUUCCCCUACUAGUACCUCCAAAUAAGUUCUCAAGAUUUCCUCAAUAUAACAAAGUUACUAGAUGUUAAGCUAACCAGGGAACAUAUUUCCCCAGUU
Molecule: unclassified non-coding RNA, 295 nt
Organism: Cavia porcellus (domestic guinea pig)
Lineage: Eukaryota; Metazoa; Chordata; Mammalia; Rodentia; Caviidae
Gene: 7SK
Rfam family: 7SK RNA
About the family: 7SK was discovered as an abundant small nuclear RNA in the mid-70s but a possible function has only recently been suggested. Two independent studies have found that 7SK RNA binds the CDK9/cyclin T complex (known as elongation factor P-TEFb).
Source: Ensembl